AUUGAACGCUGGCGGCAGGCCUAACACAUGCAAGUCGAGCGGAUGAAGGGAGCUUGCUCCUGGAUUCAGCGGCGGACGGGUGAGUAAUGCCUAGGAAUCUGCCUGGUAGUGGGGGAUAACGUCCGGAAACGGGCGCUAAUACCGCAUCCGUCCUGAGGGAGAAAGUGGGGGAUCUUCGGACCUCACGCUAUCAGAUGAGCCUAGGUCGGAUUAGCUAGUUGGUGGGGUAAAGGCCUACCAAGGCGACGAUCCGUAACUGGUCUGAGAGGAUGAUCAGUCACACUGGAACUGAGACACGGUCCAGACUCCUACGGGAGGCAGCAGUGGGGAAUAUUGGACAACGGGCGAAAGCCUGAUCCAGCCAUGCCGCGUGUGUGAAGAAGGUCUUCGGAUUGUAAAGCACUUUAAGUUGGGAGGAAGGGCAGUAAGUUAAUACCUUGCUGUUUUGACGUUACCAACAGAAUAAGCACCGGCUAACUUCGUG
This 484-nucleotide ribosomal RNA is filed under the name uncultured bacterium. RNAcentral's name for it is "partial 16S ribosomal RNA". It matches the Rfam family "Bacterial small subunit ribosomal RNA", at positions 30 to 507 of the family's 1533-position model. The record is from RNAcentral.